This 409-nucleotide ribosomal RNA is filed under the name uncultured bacterium. RNAcentral describes it as "bacterial SSU rRNA". It matches the Rfam family "Bacterial small subunit ribosomal RNA", at positions 362 to 776 of the family's 1533-position model. The record is from RNAcentral.
UAUUGCACAAUGGGCGCAAGCCUGAUGCAGCGACGCCGCGUGAGGGAUGACGGCCUUCGGGUUGUAAACCUCUUUCGCUAGGGAAGAAGCCACUUUUGUGGUGACGGUACCUGGAUGAGAAGCACCGGCUAACUACGGGCCAGCAGCCGCGGUAAUACGUAGGGUGCAAGCGUUGUCCGGAAUGACUGGGCGUAAAGGGCUCGAAGGUGGUUUGUCGCGUCGUCUGUGAAGGCCCGGGGCUUAACUCCGGGUCUGCAGGCGAUACGGGCAUAACUAGAGUGCUGUAGGGGAGACUGGAAUUCCUGGUGUAGCGGUGAAAUGCGCAGAUAUCAGGAGGAACACCGAUGGCGAAGGCAGGUCUCUGGGCAGUAACUGACGCUGAGGAGCGAAAGCAUGGGGAGCGAACAGG